AUGGCUCAGGACAACGGCUGGCGGCGUGCCUAAUACAUGCAAGUCGAACGGUCUUUCUAUGGAAGCUUGCUUCCACUGAGAAGAUAGUGGCGAACGGGUGAGUAACACGUGGGGUAACCUGCCCAUAAGAGGGGGGAUAACAUCCGGAAACGGGUGCUAAUACCGCAUAGUUUUCUUGAUCGCAUGAUCGGGAAAGGAAAGACGGCCUUUGUGCUGUCGCUUAUGGAUGGACCCGCGGCGUAUUAGUUAGUUGGUGAGGUAACGGCUCACCAAGACGAUGAUACGUAGCCGACCUGAGAGGGUGAUCGGCCACAUUGGGACUGAGACACGGCCCAAACUCCUACGGGAGGCAGCAGUAGGGAAUCUUCCGCAAUGGACGAAAGUCUGACGGAGCAACGCCGCGUGAGUGAAGAAAAGGUUUUCGGAUCGUAAAACUCUGUUGUCAGAGAAGAACAAGUUGGAGAGUAACUGCUCCAGCCUUGACGGUAUCUGACCAGAAAGCCACGGCUAACUACGUGCCAGCCGCAGC
RNAcentral lists this ribosomal RNA (529 nucleotides) under uncultured bacterium. RNAcentral describes it as "bacterial SSU rRNA". It matches the Rfam family "Bacterial small subunit ribosomal RNA", at positions 19 to 518 of the family's 1533-position model. The record is from RNAcentral.